Molecule: long non-coding RNA, 214 nt
Filed under: Elaeis guineensis (African oil palm)
Lineage: Eukaryota; Viridiplantae; Streptophyta; Magnoliopsida; Arecales; Arecaceae
Description: long non-coding RNA (EGUI_LNC067066)
Source: RNAcentral
GUCAAACUAAGUAGCCUCACUGUGAAUAGCCAACACACUGUUGGUCAAAGGACCAGUCACACCACUACAGCAUCGAAAAAAAUCACCAACGAGUGAGUAAACAUCUAAGUGAUUUCUCGCAUUAUUCAUGCUUAGUGUGAGUUGUUCUCUAACAACCAUUUUCACUCUCAUUCCAAUAUCUCCACACUGCAGACUCGAGACUUAUCUGCCCAAA